GGGACCCGUGCUGGAGCAGUUUGCUCCUGGGGGAUGGACCCCGUGGUACGGAGCCGUGUGGGAGCAGUUCUUGAAGAGCUGCUGCCUGUGGGCAGCCCCCACAGGAUCAGUUCCGGAAGGACGGCAUCCCGUGGGAGGGACCCCACGUGGAGCAGGGACAGAGAGUGACUGUGAAGUAGCAGUAGAGAUGAAGUGUUAGGGACUGACCACAGUCCCCAUUGCCCAUUCCUGUGAGCCGCUCAGGGUGUGGGGGGUGGAGGGAGGAGGUUUUAGAGGAGGGUGGAUGCAGAGAAGGUGUUUUUAGUUGUUUUGUUGUUGUUUUUGUUUGUUUGUUAGUUUUGCUUUAGUUUGGUUUUAGUUUCUCACUGCUCUAGCUUGUUAGUAAUAUGUAAAAAAUGUCAUUCAUCUCCCUAUGCUGAGUCUGUUUUGCCCAUGAUGAUAACUGUUGAGUGAUCUCCCUGUCCUUAUCUCAACCCUUGAGCCCUUUUCAUUGUAUUUUCUCCCCCUUUCCUUUGAGCAGGGGGAGUGAGAGAGCAGUUGUGGUGCAGCUCAUCUUCUCAGCUUUGUAAAACCACCACACUGUCUCUCAGAGAGGGGUCCAACUAUUAGCAUCUGUGCCCACCAGCCAGGUCCUAGUCUCCUGGCUAAUCCAUGGAAGUGCUGUUGGUGGUUGCAUGCAGUUGGUACACCUGCAGGUUUAGCUCCCUUUUCUAUAACGGGGCUUUUAAUUAUUUUUAUCCUUCUCCUCAAUGAAGACCAGACAUACAUUAUACUGACUAGCUUCAAUAAUAUUUAUCAUCUCCAGCAGGUCUGGAUAUGUGCCUCUGGCUUUUCCAUCUAUCCAGAGAAAACCAUGCAUUUGUGAUAUCACAUUUGGUUCUGAAGAAUGACAAGAAGCCCUUCAGACCUCAUGCCAGUGUUUCAGCUGACAGCGAAAUAACAUGAGACUGUAUUUUUUAUUUGCUGUCAAACUUCAUAAUAUCACACAGGGAAGAGAAUAAGAAAAAAAAAAAAAAAAGGAGGGUACAUCUAAGAUUUCCCAGAGACAGAAUUAUGUUAACAUACUAAAAUGGUUGUAUGCAAAGUAGAAACCAGCUUAACUCAAGGUAAGUUGCAACAGUUUAGGCACACACACAUAAAACGUGAAACAAUACCAAAAUAAAUGUCAAUUUGCAAUAGAUCGUACUGAUGCU
RNAcentral lists this long non-coding RNA (1193 nucleotides) under Anser brachyrhynchus (Pink-footed goose). Its description in RNAcentral is "lncRNA (ENSABRG00000016639.1)". The record is from RNAcentral. Lineage: Eukaryota; Metazoa; Chordata; Aves; Anseriformes; Anatidae.